Molecule: ribosomal RNA, 306 nt
Filed under: uncultured bacterium
Lineage: Bacteria
Description: partial 16S ribosomal RNA
Rfam family: Bacterial small subunit ribosomal RNA
Source: RNAcentral
GACAGCAGUAGCCACGGUAACACGGAGGGUGCAAGCGUUAAUCGGAAUUACUGGGCGUAAAGCGCACGCAGGCGGUCUGACAAGUCAGAUGUGAAAUCCCCGGGCUUAACCUGGGAACUGCAUUUGAAACUGUCAGGCUGGAGUCUUGUAGAGGGGGGUGGAAUUCCAGGUGUAGCGGUGAAAUGCGUAGAGAUCUGGAGGAAUACCGGUGGCGAAGGCGGCCCCCUGGACAAAGACUGACGCUCAGGUGCGAAAGCGUGGGGAGCAAACAGGAUUAGAUACCCGCGUAGUCCCUGUCUCUUAUAC